GCCGCUAGCUUGGUUGUGGACUUUGGUUAUGAUUGAAUGUUAAUUACCCUUUCAGGUCAAAUAAUUCAUAUUCACAAAUUUGGAUUUCCAAAUUAACACCUAGAAUUAUCUUGGCUUAGUAGAGGAUAGAUAGUACUAGAGACAAUUGGGGCCGAAGGAACUUGUCUAGUGGGUUAGAGCGGUAGAAGGGCCAUUGCAGGUCUUGAAAUCUAUAUCUAUAUCUAUAUCUAUAUCUAUAUCUAUAUCUAUAUCUAUAUCUAUAUCUAUAUCUAUAUCUAUAUCUAUAUCUAUAUCUAUAUCUAUAUCUAUAAAUUUUGAAUCGCCACAAACAAUCUAUCUUAACAUGCAAAGUGUCUAUAUUGGCAUCCAUUAACACAUGUAACUAUUUACUUAUGCAAAGUGUCCACACAUCAACAUCCACUAGCACAUCGAACUAGUACAUGUCAAUAUGUCUUCAUUCGAACUAUUCAUAUUUACAAACCCCAUUAUUUACUAAAAUAUUUAGUUAUUCUAAAAAUCACCCACUAACAUGUAUUACGAUAUUUAUUAGUUCAUAUAAGUAAAUAUAAGUAGUAUAAUUUCAUCUACGAUCUUUCAGCAAAAUGCAGGGCAUUUUUCUAGUUUAUUUAGAAGUUAAAGCUAUAAUAAAUAACUAAGUGGGGGCAUCAGGGGGUGAAGUCUAGUGGAGGUGAAACUAGGCUUCUACCCUCUCUUUCCCCUGUGUGGCUUUACUGAACUCAGUUGUUGCGUCUAUUGCUGUUGAAGUAUGGUAAGAUGAUGAACAAGUGUGAGUGACAGUGCAAGAGACACCGGAGAUGGCUGAGUAGAUUUUACCUUGGUGGCUCAUUCUUUCUUCACCGUCACACGAUCGACUAAUUAUUAUCUAAUUUUAUAAUUUGACCACAAAGUCAUUUCUUCGUCUCAAAGUGCGUUUAACAUAGUUGUAGAUUCUUGUAGAAACAUUUUAGAUCUAGAUUUUCUUCAAAAACAUUGUCCUGAUAAAUCAAAAUCACUUUUAUAAAAUUGUUUGGCUAGUUUGCUGGAUUCUUAGAGCAUCUCUAAUAGUUUGUAAAAAACAGUUGAUAGGUGUUAUUCUCACAAAGACACUUCAAGAGUGUUCAAAUCCCACUAUAGUUAUCCAAUACAGAAAGGGACAAUUGUGCAACUGCCCCUAUUCUGAAGCUCAAUUUCUCGUUUGCCCCUAUUUUUAAAACAUUGCUUGUUUGCUCCUGUUUUUACAAGACGAAUCCACCAUUUGCCCCUCUUUUCUUCAUCCGUUAGUUGGUGAAACAUUUAGACCCAAAAAAAAAGAUUGAGAAAAAAGAAAAAGAGAAAAAAAAAACCAAAAUGCCCCUUAUCCUUUCGUUCCCGUCCCUUCGCUCGCGAACGAGUUCCGUCGCUCGCGACGCUUGCGGCUGGACGACGACUGCUAGGGUUCCGGCGCUGGGGAUUUGCAGGUGCAGGAGGCAGGCAGGUGAGCCGCAGGAGGCAG
Molecule: long non-coding RNA, 1492 nt
Filed under: Sorghum bicolor (sorghum)
Lineage: Eukaryota; Viridiplantae; Streptophyta; Magnoliopsida; Poales; Poaceae
Description: long non-coding RNA (SBIC_LNC001668)
Source: RNAcentral